UGUCUUCUCGACUAACGGCAAGUCACCAGGCUCUGACCCUGGCAAUUGAGGUUCGAAUCCUUGGGGGACAAC
This 72-nucleotide transfer RNA is filed under the name Mycobacterium phage MrMagoo. Its description in RNAcentral is "tRNA-Gln". It matches the Rfam family "tRNA". Rfam says of the family: Transfer RNA (tRNA) molecules are approximately 80 nucleotides in length. Their secondary structure includes four short double-helical elements and three loops (D, anti-codon, and T loops). Lineage: Duplodnaviria; Heunggongvirae; Uroviricota; Caudoviricetes; Vilmaviridae. The record is from RNAcentral. RNAcentral also lists the same sequence under 2 other names.